RNAcentral lists this ribosomal RNA (263 nucleotides) under uncultured Staphylococcus sp. Its description in RNAcentral is "partial 16S ribosomal RNA". It matches the Rfam family "Bacterial small subunit ribosomal RNA", at positions 99 to 354 of the family's 1533-position model. The record is from RNAcentral. Lineage: Bacteria; Bacillati; Bacillota; Bacilli; Caryophanales; Staphylococcaceae.
CGGACGGGUGAGUAACACGUGGAUAACCUACCUAUAAGACUGGGAUAACUUCGGGAAACCGGAGCUAAUACCGGAUAAUAUAUUGAACCGCAUGGUUCAAUGGUGAAAGACGGUUUUGCUGUCACUUAUAGAUGGAUCCGCGCCGCAUUAGCUAGUUGGUAAGGUAACGGCUUACCAAGGCAACGAUGCGUAGCCGACCUGAGAGGGUGAUCGGCCACACUGGAACUGAGACACGGUCCAGACUCCUACGGGAGGCAGCAGAC